GAUGAACGCUGGCGGCGUGCCUAAUACAUGCAAGUCGAGCGAACAGAUGAGAAGCUUGCUUCUCUGAUGUUAGCGGCGGACGGGUGAGUAACACGCGGGUAACCUACCUAUAAGACUGGGAUAACUCCGGGAAACCGGGGCUAAUACCGGAUAAUAUUUUGAACCGCCUGGUUCAAUAGUGAAAGACGGUUUCGGCUGUCACUUAUAGAUGGACCCGCGCCGUAUUAGCUAGUUGGUAAGGUAACGGCUUACCAAGGCGACGGUACGUAGCCGACCUGGGAGGGUGAUCGGCCAGCCUGGAACUGAGACACGGUCCAGACUCCUACGGGAGGCAGCAGUAGGGAAUCUUCCGAAAUGGGCGAAAGCCUGACGGAGCAACGCCGCGUGAGUGAUGAAGGUCUUCGGAUCGUAAAACUCUGUUGUUAGGGAAGAACAAAUUUGUUAGUAACUGAACAAGUCUUGACGGUACCUAACCAGAAAGCCACGGCUAACUACGUGCCAGCCGCCGCCGUAA
Molecule: ribosomal RNA, 514 nt
Filed under: uncultured bacterium
Lineage: Bacteria
Description: partial 16S ribosomal RNA
Rfam family: Bacterial small subunit ribosomal RNA
Source: RNAcentral